CUUCAUAUAAAAAAUCAGACACUGACUCGCGCUAAUCAACUACUAUCACACGCUGUCCACAUAAAGUACAUUAGUUUACAAAAGUACCCUUCUAACAGUUAUCAGUUCUACUCCACUUAAAAGUGCUAUAAUCCAGUGUGUCUCGUCGGCGCUAGGCCUCCGGCGCAUUGUACGAUACCCAGAUUCACUUAUUUUAGGCAAGAAAAAACAGUAAUACCAAAUUAAAAUUAAAAUCUAAAGGAGUACAUUGACUGACCAGGCAAAAUCAAAAAUCCAUAAGAAAAAAAAUUAAAAACAAACUGAGAUCGGGAAAUGAUUAUCGUUUAAGACAUAGGUUUCCGGCAGAGAAUCAUAUGCAUCGGAGAGAAAAUUUCAGUUUCGCCUCCUCUGGACAAGAAAUCAGCAGUCUUAAACAACAUCUCGUGAACAUCGACGGUUCCCUUAGGCGCAACUCCAACAGCAGACAGAAUCUGAACCACAAUGUGGUUCCUCCAAUAAGCGAGCCGACCCAUCUUAAGCCUAGUCCACCACGGCUCAGCCGGUGGAGCCGCUAGAUCCUUCUCCUUGACAACUUGGAAGCCAACUUUCUUGGCGGCCUCGGCUAUAUCCGAGUAAGCCCUAAGCCCAGGAAGCGCGUCACCCCUCUCGAUGCCUUGGAUGACCUCCACGUGUUCCUCAUCCUCGGCGUUGAACUUAUCAGUGGUGACCCACUCGUACGAUACGUACAAAGAUCCGGGUUUCAACACCCUGUAGAUCUCGGCGUAGACUUCUUCCAGGUUCGGCGCGUGACACGUCGCUUCGAUAGAGUACGCGCCGUCGAAGGUGUUAUCAUCGAAGGGCAUCUGGAGGAAGUUACCACACACGACCUCGCAGAGCGCGUCGAGUCCUGCUUUUCUGUUGUGGUCACGCGCUCUCUUCACCUGGUACUCGUUGAUCGUGAUCCCCACCACGUUGGCUCGCGAGUGGGAUGCAAUCGCGCGCAUCGGACCUCCGACGCCGCAUCCGACAUCGAGGAUCUUUUGACCCGGUUUCACUUGGAUCAGAUCUACGGCCAUCUCUUCGUGGAGGCGCGUGGCGUCGCGGUGGGAUUUGCCUCGGAUGGAAGGAGAGAAGUGGAAGGACUGUCCCCAUCCCCACUCGUAGAUGUCGGUGACGAGGUUGUAGAACGUGUCGACGAAGUCCGGGACUUUCUCGGCGGUUUCGAUCUCUUUCGGACGGCGGAAGAACGACCAGUACUGUUUGUACUUGUCUUGAACUUUCUCGGCCGAGAUGGACCCCCCCGAUAGAUCCAACGCUCGUUUUCCUUUUCGCUCCGCUGGUCCCAGGACGCACAGGAACCAGUAGAUUCCGCCGGCUACGAGAGCUCCGGUGAAGAAGAAUGCUACGCCGUCCAUUUUUUUAAAGAGAGAUAGAGAGGAGAGACGUUUUCGUUAUUGCUGGUUGAGAGAAGUCAUAAAUAGAUGAGAACAUAUAUUUUUUUGUGAAUGGACUCCCUUUAUUUCGCAUUUAAAGUUAUUAUUAAUGAGAAGAAGCCUAAUUUGUCCUUUGACUUGAAAAAUCUAAAGAUUCUUUUAUUUUUUGUGAACGAGUAUAUCCAAUGAAACAAAAUAUUUGAAGAAAAAAACGCUUAGUCAAAUGAAAAUUUACUUGCAAACUCCACGAAGUUUUCGUUAGUAAUUUAUGAGUAAUUUAUUAAAAGAAACAAAAAGUCAUUCCGUUUUAGUAAUUAAUCUAAAGAAACAAAACUCUAUUAUUUAACCAAGCGUUCGUGACUUGAUGUUAAAAGAGGUACAGUUGUACUGUCCGCCACCCGGAUUCAAACCUUGGCUACAACGGAUUUAACAUCCCUUCCGUUGGAGCGCUGGAUCUCCUACAGGGAUAGUUAGGAACGUGGCUGCCCAGAUACCAGAGUUACAAAAAAAAAAAAAAAAACAAAACUCUAUUAUGUACUGUUUAGGAAAACUGUUCAAACCAAUAAUCACUCAUCAGAAUUUGGAAAUUAAAUUAGUAGUAACAAAGUAAAACUGAUCUAACAUCUAUUUCUUUUGACAAUAAACGAAAAAGCAAAGAAGUGAUGUGAUGUACAUGGGAGAGAAGUACCGACCAGAGAAGGAGAAAUCACGUGGAAGCUUCUUUCUUUUUAAUGAAAAGCUAGCUUUUCGAAUUGUUUACAAAAGUUGAUUCAUCGAUCUGCUCUUAUUUCUUUUUGUUCUUGUCGUUUCUUUCUUGGCUUCUAACCAGACCACGUUACUUCAAAAGAUGCUCUUUCUCCUCUUCUCUAACCUUUAGAUCCCUCUCUCAAGUCUGUGCACUGUCUCAUUUUUGUUAAUGCAGCGAGUUCAGAGUAAAAUGCAGAAAUAAAUAUGACACAAGUUUUUCUCUUUUCAAAUUCACUAGAAUAAGAAAGUCUUACACCAAUCUUUUCUAUUAUAAGAAUCUUUUAGUAUUACCUCAAUCCUAAGCUAAAACUCACCCUAGAAUCUAAACUUUUGUUUAUCAGAAUCACUCUGAUCCCGAGCUAAACUCCCUCUGAGUCUAGGCUUCAAUCUUCCAACACUCUAGAAGUACUUCACCAACUACGUCAGCACCUAGCGCAGAGCAGUGAUACCAAAGGCUUGAUCACACAAGCAACAAACAAUGAUCUCUCGGCUUUUUUUUUUUUUUGCAGAGACAACUUUUUUAGUAGAGACACGUUCUCCUUGAAUAGAUAACCAGAACUUGCUCCCCAAGUUCUUCCAAAGACAACUUAAGCAACUUUCCUUUUUCUCUUAAGGAAUAACUCUCUUGUCUUUUACUCUUCAAAUAAUAUCCUUUACACUUAAUGUAAAUCUCCCAAUAAACAUAUUGCUUAUUCUCCGAGUUUAACAAGUCCACGGACAUCAAACAACACGAGCUCCAACAAAGCCCAUCUUCAUGACACACGCAUAUACUAUCUCCUGUAGUACUUCACAAACUGAUACUGAUACAAAAUAUACAUCUUCAAUUUUUGUAUCUUUUUCACUCAAAAUAAUUUUACUCUCUCUUGCGGUUUAAAAUGAAAGUUGUCACUAGUGAAAUUGUUACUUUAAAACUAUUAGCAUUAUUAGUAUUCUAAUCUUUACCAAAAUCUUAAAGUUCUGAACGUGAUUACAAAAACAUUAUUAGAACCCAAAAACAUAUGUUUAUAAGUGAACGUGAUUAAAUAUAAAUCGUACGUCACCGGCAAAUACCGUAUCAGCAGCAGUAUUGGUGAUUAAGAGGUUACGACGACUGACUCCCAUGCUCUAUAAAACUGAGCUUCAUUAGUUGUGUAUCUUGUUUUCCUCGGUAGGAACGUACACCCUGCAUUAGCAAGUUCAUGAAGGAUAAGAAGAUGAUGGGUCCCGACUGUCAGGUCACAAAGAUACUUAGGGCGUUUGUCAAGUUUAUGUUAAAAACUUUUAGAAAAAAAAAAAAAAGCUUAUGUUAAAAACUUAAAAAAUAUAAAAAGAAAAUGACUAUGAUAGCACUAAAAUUUUUUUUUGUCACAAAUAUAGCUUCUAAGAAUAAAAAUGACUAAAAUAACACUUAAUGUUUUAUCAAAAGAAAAUAUACAUUUAUACCCCAAUGAUAAAUUAAUUUAGACAUUAAGUUUUAGAGUUAAGGGGUGAGGUUUAGGAUUUAGGGUUUAGGGUUUAAGGUUUAGGGUUUAGGGCUUAGAGUUUAGGGUUUAGAGUUUAGGGGUGGGGUUUAGAGUUUAGGGUUUAGAGUCAAGGGGUGGGAUUUAGGAUUUAGGGUUUAGAGUUUAGGGUUUAGAGUUUAGGGUUUAGGGUUUAGAGUUUAGGUUUUAGGGUUUAGAGUUGGGGAGUGGAGUUUUGGGAUAAGAUUUCAAAUUUUGAAAAAUAAAAAAAAAUUAAAUUUUUCAAAAAAUAAAAUGUUAUUUUGGUCAUUUUAGUUUUUGAAAGCUAUUUUUGUGACAUAAACUUAUUUAGGAGAUUUGCCCAAAUAUAAAUAACACGAAUAUAUAUACUAGUUUGGUGCACAAUCAAAAGUUCAUAAAUAAAGUACUUGGACCCUGUUGUUUGUCCAAGCAACGCAAACAAGAUAUAUUUUUUCAUUUUGUGUUGAGAGAACAUUUGACCCCAAAACUUUUACAGCUUAUCGGAUUUUAACUGCGUUUACAGUAUAUGAUUCAUGACAUAAAGUUUGCGGGUUUCAAAGCAACCUACGUAUGACCUAAGUAGACCUUCAUUGAAAUGUUAUUUAUAAAGAAUAAUUUAUCAAAGCAUAUAUAACAUAGUAAGCCUCACUUAAAUAUUUGUAUUCUACUCCCACCGUUUGGUUAUACAAUAAGUUCACCUUUAUCUAAAUUAAUCUGGUAUAGGUUUCGCUUCAGUCACGUGUUCAAUUUUUAAAGCAUUUGUUAAGUUCUUAAACCAAAUAUUCCAUGUAUUGGUUCUAUAUGUACUGAAGAAUAUAAUGAUUUUGACGUUUAAUAUAAAGCUCUUUCUAUCUGUUGAAUGUAUAUACCCUUUGUGUGAUUUCGUCUGUUUCGUUCUUUAUGAAUCAUUUUUGUAAGGUUUCCGAAAGUUGUCCAUAUUGUUGGUAAAUUCUAAGUGAGAGAUCUUUAAGGGCAAGCCUCUUACUAAAGAUUAUAGUUUAACACUCACCUUCCUAUGCGUGCGUUUAAUUAGGGAAGAGUUGGACUCGAAGAAGAUGUGGAAUGACCAGAACAAAAAGUUCUGAAGAAAAUUCUGAUAAGAACACAAUUUCAAUUUGUCCUUAUCAACCUCAUCAAAAAAAUUCCAAGGCAUAUCAUUAUAUGUAUGAUCAAAUUCAAUAUUUAUAAUCUACAUAUCAUUGAAUUACAAAUACAAACAUAAUAUCUUCAUAAUAGAACAUGCCCACGUAUUGAUGUAUAAUACAUGAUUUUGAGUUUUGAAUGGUAUAAUCACAAUUUAAAUUAUCUUGUUCAUCAUCAUGUUUGUGGUAGUUAGUUAUUUGAUUCAGCAAUCCUUGUAUCUUGUCAUGAAAAGCUAACUUAAUGGACGAGACGAAGGAGGGUACGAAGAUUGAACAUCUUGGCAAGAGGAAGGACAACAUUUUCCUUUAUUGCUACACUUCUUUCCGGGUAUUCGGCAGUCUUGUAAUUUAUGUUGUCGAUUCCUUGUCAAAAUCAUAUAACCGAAACAAUCCAUUUGUGGUUAUGAAAUUAUUUUUUGUUUAAAUUGUACUGAUUGCAUUAGUUUUAUGGUAUAAUUUGACUCUUUAAGGAAAAUACAAAUGACAAUUGACGUACUAUGAUGAAGUUUUGAUUCAUAAGCUAGUAGUCAUCUAAAACAUUUAUAACACAUAACUAAAAAAUGGUUUCAAUUAAAAUCGAACAAAAACAACUAAUGAGAUUUGGAGAUUGUAAUGCUUUCGUAGAAAAUUACAUAUCUGAGAUUUACUUAAUUACGUUGAAAAUAUGUUUCUACUAAAUUUUACAUUGUUUACACUAACCAAAAAAAAUGAGAAAAAUAAAAUGUUAAUAUCUUAUGAGACUAUACGUUCGUAUAGAAAAAGAUCUUCUUAGUUAAUUAAAAUCUUUAUAAGCGUAGUAUUAAACCUUCACUCAGAUUCUCUAUUACUAUUUCAUAAUCAUAAUUAUUUUUUAGAGAAUUUUCAUGUUUACCACUUUCUUAGUAAUAUUAUUCAUGUUUAACACCACUAAAAAUAUAUUUUCAAAAAUACAUUCUUCAUUAAGUGGCAAAAGACCUUUAUACCUUUGUUAUCUAUAUAUAUAAUAAAUAAUUAUUUUAACAGUUAUUUGAAAAUAUUAUAAAAUUUCCAAAAAUAGAAUUAUUAAACAGAAUAUUAACAUCACUUUUAGCCGAUUGUUGCUAAUGUGGAGUUUAAAAAAACAUAUCCACGGAAUAGUAACAAUAUUUGAUUUACAUUUAGUUUUCAAAAAAGAAGUUUAAAACAAAAUUAACACAUUGAGACCAAUUGAGAAAUAACCAAUUGGAGAAUAUUUGGCGUUUUCUUAAAAAAUUAGUUCAACCAAUUCAAUAAUUUAAUAAACCAUUGUAACUUUUUAGAUGAACAUUUGUAAUUAUUUAUUUGUAUCAUUGCAUUGUCAAAUAAAUAUUCGCAACUGUAUAAAUGUUCUAUUACUCUGAAAUUGUUAACCAUUACAACAUUUGAUGAUCAACCAUUGUCUGAUUAACCAUUGCAAACUUUUAAAUUUAAUUAUUUUUUAAAAAAUUGUCUAUAUAAGGGUUGUAGACAUUGAUAAAAUCCAAAGACACAAUAAAAGGAGAGAAAUUAUUGUUGUCCAUCCUUUUUAUUUUUUGAAAAAUAAUUUAUGUUGUCCAUUUUCCAAAGAGAUUUUGUAUAAGCUCAAAUUGACAAAUGUUAAAAUAUGAUUUUAAAAAUGUGUUCAUGCAUGAUUAAUCAUUAUAUAAAUUCAUAUUAUAUAACAAUUUGACUAUUCAUUAAAUUACCGUAUUUACCCUUAUGUUAACCAAUUAUAUAAACUUUGAAUGUUAAUUAAUUAUAUUAAAUGGCCUAAACAUUAUGGGAAUAUUUUUACCGUUGAUGGUAUAUUUCUUAGUUUAUUUAGAAAUAAAUAAAUAAAUAAAUAAAUAUAUAUAUAUAUAUAUAUAUAUAUAUAUACUCAUGACAAUCAAAAUCAUAACAAUCGUUGUUGAUUUUCAAAUUAUUAUCUAACUUGUAUAACCGUAAAACUGUGUAUAACCGUAAAACUGUGUAUAUUGCAUUGAUCAAUCGUUUCUAACGUAACAUAAUAAACUAAUGUUGACAUUGACUUACCUAUGACAGCAUAACUAAUUUUAUAUAUAUCGUCUAUAGGAACCACCAUACAUAAUUGUUCCAAUAUAUUACGCACAACAACAUCAUAUUUUAUGAUAAUUAUGAAAGUCUCUACUAAGGAUAACGGUAAAACAGUUUAAAGUUUUUUUUGUGCAGCCCAUAAUUUAAAGCCCAUAAUUUAAAACAGUAUGAAAGAGUUCUGAUUUUAAGCAAUAUUUUUUUGUGACAAAAUCCAGGAGAGUUUAAUCUUAAAUAUAGAUGUGAAUAAUUGUAAUAAAUUUUGGAUUAUGAUUUCUUAAAAAGAAAAAAAUACUAUUUAAAUAGGAAAUUUUAUUAUUUAUAAGGAAAUAUUUGAAAUAUUUAUUUUACACUUUUUUUUGUUUAGAUAAAUAAAAAGAAAACUACAAUUAAACACCCUUUAAAAAAUUUAUUUUGUAUAAGAUUUUAUAAAAGGAUAAUUACUAUCAAGUAAUUAUUUACAAUUAUAUUUUCUUUAUGAUUUUAGAAAACAAAAAUUCGUAUUAAAUAAAUUGUUUUACAGAUAUUUUUUGUUUAAAAUUUUUUAAAAGGAAAAAAAUAAUUUAGAGAAAGAAAAUUACUGUCAAAUAAAAACUAUCAAAUAAUCUUUUGCUAUUAUCUUUGUUUAGAAUUUUAAAAAAGAAAAAUUAAUUAUGAUAUAUUUUAACACAUGUCAUCAUCCUAAAUUUUUAAUUGUCAUUUGCCACCAUCAUGUUAAUUAUUAACUUUGAAAUAAUAUUUUGCUAUUAUCUUUGUUUAGGAUUUAAAAAAAAAAGAAAAUUACUAUUAAAUAAUUCAUUUGUGUUAUUAUCUUAUUAUAUUUAUCUUAUUAAUUAUGAUAUAUUUUAACACAUGUCAUCAUCUUAAAUUUUUAAUUGUCAUGUGUCACCAUCGUGUUAAUUUGUAACUUUGAAGAACCAAACUUUAUAUAAUAGAAUACUUUUGUAUAUAAUUCUUAUUUUAAACUAUAUUUAAAAUUUAAUAUUUUUUCCUCCCCAAACCGCGGGGGUUUGAAUCUUAGUGUUUAUAAUAUGAAACAUGUAAUAAGAGUUUCUACAGUGCGUCUUGAAAUAUUUCAAAUGAAUAAUCCUUAUCUACAUCUUUCUGUUGUGAAACUAGAGAAUAGAAUCUAUGAGGAGCCCUUUAUAUAUAGGGAAUUACACCGUCAUAGAAUAAUAGAAAGACUAAAGAAAGGAAAUACAAAUAUGGAAAGAGUACAAAUCAUAAUCUUAUAAGGAAAAGACAAGAUGCUGAUUCUCUCUCUCUUUCUCUCUCUCCUCACGGUCGACUCUCUCUCUCUCUAGCAUUGGGCCGGUUAUGAACCAGGCCGGUUAUGGACAUCCACAAUAUGAUUUAUAACACUCCCCCUUGGAUGCGAUAACCAUACAUGGAUUGUAAUACGCUUUAGAUGUUGCCUCAUUAAAACAUUAUCAGGAAAACCCAGUGGGACAAAACCAUGGUUAAAGGAAAAAAGUACAACACGUAUUACUCCCCCUGUUCUGAAUAACUCGCGGCUGGCCUCAUGAACAGCCAAGAUCUCCGAAUUGUUUGAAGAUGUGGCCGCGAUCGUGUGCUUCAUGGAACACCAUGAUAUGACUGUUCCACCAUGUGUGAAAACAUAGCCUGUCUGUGAUCGAGCAUCGUGUGGAUCCGAAAGAUAACCUGCAUCAGCAAAAUCAACUAAACCUUCUUUGUUUUGGUUAGUAUAAAAUAAACUCAAGUCUUUCGUUUCUUGCAGGUAACGAAGAACAUGUUUAAUCCCGUUCCAGUGCCUUUGGGUUGGACAAGAGCUUAAUCUAGACAAUAGAUUCACGACAAAACAUAUAUCUGGUCGUGUGACUAGCCAGAUACAUCAAAGCUCCUAUGGCACUGAGAUAUAGGAUUUCGGGACCAAGGACAUCUUUAUCGUCCAUCUUAGGACGGAACGGAUCAGUGUCCAGGCCGAGGGACCUCACGACCAUGGGGCUAGAUAAUGGGUGAGACUCGGCCAUGUUGAAUCUCUUGAGUACUUUUCUGUAUAUGCCAUUUGAUGCACAAGGAUUCCAUCUCUUAUGUACUCAAGCUGUAAUCCCAAACAAAACUUUGUUUUUUUUCAAGAUCUUUCAACUCGAAUUCUUUCUUAAGAUAUUCAACUGUUUGGGAAAUCUCUCCAAAGGUUCCUAGGAUAUUCAGAUCAUCAACAUACACUGCUAUGAUCAUAAAUCCUUUAUUUUCGAAUUUCUUUAUGAAAAUACAUGGUUUGAUCGGGUCAUUCUUAUAGCCCUCUUUCACUAGGUACUCACUUAGUCUAUUGUACCACAUUCGACCUGAUUGUUUCAGUCCAUAAAGUGACUUAUUCAACUUUAUAAAAUGUUGUUCUCGAGAGCUCGAUUUGUCUUUCAAUUCAAUACCCUCUGGUACUUUUAUAUAUAUCUCAUUAUCCAGUGGACCAUAUAAGUAUGCAGUUACUACAUCCAUUAACCGCAAGUCUAAGUUUUCUCUUAUAGCUAGACUUAUUAGGAAUCUAAAAGUAGUAGCAUUCACGACAGGGGAAUAUGUUUCCUCAUAAUCAAUUCCUGGUCUCUGUGAGAAUCCUUGUGCAACAAGCCGUGCUUUAUAUCUCACGACCUUGCCGUGUUCAUUUCUUUUCCUCACAAAGACCCACUUAUAGCCGACUGGUUUAAAAUAAUAUGGUGUCCGGACUAUUGGUCCAAAGACAUCACUCUUCUUUAAAGAGUUUAACUCCACGUUUAUAGCUUCUUUCCAUUUGAUCUAAUCUGAUCGUUGAGUGCAGUCAUAAAUAGACGUGGGUUCAUGAUCCUCAUUCAAAUCCAUAAGUUCAAGUGCUACCUUGUAUGCAAAUAUAUCAUCAAUGUCGACAUUCUUUCUGUUCCAUUGUAACAAGACAUAAUUUAUUGAGAUCUCAUUAUUAUCAGGACCUUCACUACCUUGAAUCUUGGCGUCCUAAGAAUCAGUAUUAGAUACAUCAAGGCCGGCCGCAUCUAAGCAUUCAUGAUCGGCCAUGAUCGCUAUUAGGGUUUUGGGAUCGGCAGCGGUUAAGUCCCGGGAUUUAGGAACGGCCGCGGUCGUGUCUAGGGUUUCAACAAGCUCGGUUUCAUUCUAUGCACCUUUCUUAGUUUUCCGAGGGUUCUUAUCUUUGGAACCUAUUGGUCUACCACGUUUCAAACGUUGUCUAGACUCUGUAGCAACUUGAUUGUGUCCCUCUUGAACAUCAAUUCUGAUUGGUGCAUUAGCAGGUAUAUAUGACUUAGUCACUCUUUUCGGGUCAGCAAAGAAAUCUGGCAAUUGAUUAGCUAGCUUUUGUAAAUGUAUAAUCUUUUGGACCUCUAAAUCACAUUCCUGAAUCCGAGGAUCUUGCCAAGAUAAGGAUGUUUGAUUCCAUGUAAUCUUUUUUUACCAGCUUAUUGCUAUCUCCCCCUAAUGUUGGAUGUUCAGAUUCAUCACAGUGACAAUCCGCAUACCUGGCCUUAAAUAAAUCACCCGUAGUUGGCUCAAGGUAUUUUAUAAUCGUGGGGGAAUCAUAUCCAACAUAUAUCCCCAUCCUCCUUUGAGGUCUCAUCUUUGUUCUCUGUGGUGGAGCAAUUGGUACAUAGACGGCACAACCAAAUGUCUUAAGAUGGGACAUGUCUGGCUCAUGACCCGUAAGCAAUUGUGAUGGGGAAUAUCUAUGUUCACUAGAUGGCCUGAUGCGUAUGAGUUCAGCCGCGUGAAGGACGGCGUGUCCCCAAGCUGAGACCGGAAGUCUCGACCUCAUAAACAAUGGUCUAGCUAUUAGCUGUAUGCAUUUUAUAAAUGAUUCGGCCAAACCGUUCUCUGUAUGUACAUGUGCCACGGAGUGUUCCACACUUACCCCCAUGGACAUACAGUAAUCAUUAAACGCUUGGGACGUGAACUCACCAGCAUUGGUCUCUAUCAUUCCGACCUUAGCAUAGUAAAAGGCCAGUAGAGAGCGCAUGUAUAGACUCUAGGACUUUCUUAUAGCCUUGGCCGAUCUCUAUGAUCUGAAGAAACUCUUUGUUUCCUUCGCCCUUAGUCUCAAUAUGAAAGCCAUUCAUUCGAAUAUCUUUAAAGCUCAAUAGGCUUCUCUUAGAGCUGGGUGAAUACAAUGCAUCAGAUAUCUCUAGAUGCGUACCCUUAAGAAACAUGAUAUUAGCCUGGCCGUAGCCCUCUAUGAGACUUUAGAGACUUUUAUAUCAAAAACUUUCAUUCAUUAAUAAAAUAAGUUCAAAGCAAUCAAAACAUAGAAAACAUAAAGCAAAGAACACGAAAACAUAGAUGUCGAAUUCAACUUCAUUCUUUUAAACAAUCUGAAGUUUCAUAAUCCAUAAGAUCGUCUCGUUCAUGAUUGAAAUCAUCUUCACCAUCUUGAUAAGUAAUAUGAGCUUCAGGAUUCUUCCCUUUCAAACUCUCUUGGUAGAGGUCAACGAGAUGUUUGGGAGUCCUACAUGUCUUAGCCCAAUGAUUAUCCAUACCACAUCUAUGGCACACGGAUUUGGUCGAGUUUUGUGGUUUAAAUGAUGUACCACGACCUCGGCUAUGACCACGGCCUCCAUAAGAGUUUCCUUGGCCACGACCAAACGAGUUUCGGCCUCGACCACCACGUCCAUGCCAUUUUCCACGACCACGGCCGUGUUGGCUAUCACUCUGGACAUGGUUCGACUCUUUCUUAGCCUCUACGGUCGCAUGUGCCUCAGGUGAUGUGUUUGUUCCAGGAGGUCUCAAUUCACUGUUUCUCAUCAACAAUUCAUUGUUCUGCUCAGCGAGCAAGAGACAAGAGAUCAGAUUAGCAUAAGUUGUGAAGCCCUUCUCUCGGUACUGUUGUUGUAACAACACAUUGCUUGUGUGGAAGGGGAAAAGGUUUUCUCAAGCAUAUCCUUAUCUUUUAUAUUCUCACCACACAGUUUCAAUUUUGAAACUAUUUUAAACAGGGCUGAGUUAUACUCGUCCACGGACUUGAAGUCCUGGAUUCUGAGAUUCCUCCAAUCAUACAUAGCCUUUGGUAAUAACACCGUUCUCUGGUGAUCAUAUCUCGUUUUCAAUUCUGUCCAAAGGUCUAAUGGAUUCUCAAUGGUCAGAUACUGAUCUUUGAGACUCUCAGUUAGAUGAUGGCGAAUGAUCAAGAUGGCUCUGUAUCGAUCUUUCUCACUAGCAUCAUUGUCCUCGGUGAUACACUCACUGAGUCCCUUGGAUUUCAGGAUGAUCUUAGCAUCAAGUGCCCAUUGCAAGUAAUUAUCUCCAGAGAGAUUUAGGGCAGUAAAAUCCAAGUUGUUGAUUUUCGGCAUCUGAAAUUAUAUGUUUCAUAAUUUAGAUAUAAGAGUGUUCAAGCGAAUGCAAUCAAUAUGCUCAAGCAAUCCGGAUUCUAGGUAUGAUGCAAAUAGGUCAUUCGUAUAUGAUGCAUACAUGUUCAAUCUUAGCAUUCAGAUUCUAUAUGCAAUCAGUUCAUACUAUUAUGCAUGCAUGAUGCAAACAAGCCGCACGGCUACAAUCUUAGCAAACGGUUUCAAUGCAAUCAAUACAAUGGUUAUUCGUUUUCCAUCUUAGCAAACGGUUUUCUAAGAGUUCAAUGUGUAAUUGCAAUCAAACAGUCGAGCAAUGCAACAAUUAGGGUUCAUUCGAGAAUGUAUGAAAACUAUCAAUACUAGCCGGAUCAUUAUCAAGACGAGAAUGCAUAAAUUAUUUAACCUAGCAAGCGAUUUCUAUUUCAAUUCAAGCAUUCGGUUUUAAUCAAUCAAACAAGAUAGUAUUCAAUUUUAAUUUCAAGACAUUAGGGUUUCGAUCAAACAAUCAAUACGACUUCAAUUUGAAAAUCAUUCAAUCGGUUUUAUCAAUUCAAACAACCAAAUUCAAGAAUGAGAUUAUCAAUCCUAGCAAUCGAUUUCUAUGUGAUCAAAUUCAAUACGGUUUUAAUUAAUCAAGGCUAGCAUACUAUAUCCAAACAUACAAUCAUUCAAACAAUCAAUUUCGAUUCAAAGCAUUAGAUUCAGGUUUCGAUUUUAAUUCAUUCAAUCAAUCAAUUUGAUUUCGAAUUAGGGUUUAUAAAAUCGAAUGUGUUUUAGUAUUAGGGUUUUAAAUAAAAUUGAUUUCAUGCAUUCAUGCAAUAAGCAUGUAUGCAGCUAGGAUCAUGGAUAUUAGGGUUUCGAUUUUGAUCUUAGAUCAUUGGGGUUUUGAGAUUCAAAACCAUGAAGAUUUCGAUUUAAAUUGAUCAAACAAUCAAUCUCGAUUAGGGUUUGGGGUAUCGAACUUAUGAUUAUGAGCUUCAAUUUACUCAUUGGGGUUUUGAUCUAUUACCCUAUGGUUUUGAUUUCAACAUUAGAUCAUACUAUUAUGGUUUGUAGUUUUUAUGGUUUCGAUUCUUAUCAAACAAUCAAAUUUGAUUAUGGGUUCUAUUUAAGGUUUUGAAUUACCUUAACCUCAAGUAGGGUUGAAUGGACCACCAAAGAGAUGAACCGCGAGCUGGAACUGAUCAGAACGCGAGCUGAUGUUGUUGCGAGCUGUCUGGUUGCUGAGAUCGGGAACACGAGCUGUCCAACGUGCUGAUCGGGUCGCGAGCUGUCCGCGAGCUGUCUGAGAUCGUUUUGUUUGCGAGCUGAGGUUGAACAAGCCGAGAUCGUCUGAGCUAGGAUCAUGAACGCCUUGAGCUGAAGCUGAUCGGGAACAGAUUGCAAACAAGGAUCAUGAUGUAAGGUUUCGCGAUCGGGAUUAGGAUGGUUCACCGGUAAGGAUGUUCGCCGAUUAAGGUUAGGGUUUUAGGCGGUUUAUUUUAGUUUAGGGAUUUAGAUUCUAUCGUGCUGAUAACGUGUUGUGAAACUUGAGAAUAGAAUCUUAUAUAUAGGAAAUUGUACCGUCAUAGAAUAAUGGAAAGAAUAAAGAAAGGAAAUACAAAUAUGAAAAAAGUACAAAUCAUAAUCUAAUAAGGAAAAGACAAGAUGCCGAUUCUCUCUCUCUCCUCACGGUCGACUCUCUCGCUCUCUAGCAUUGGGCCGGUUAUAAACCGGGCCGGUUAUGGACAUUCACAAUAUGAUUUAUAAGACUUUCUUAUUUUUGCCAUCUUUUUUUUUAUACUGGGAUACUCAUGCGUAUCUUGAAAUAUGGACGUGCUCUUAAGCUUUAAUAAAUUACAAAGCAAACUACAAAUAUUACAAAUGGCCCAUUAGCCCAAGACACUAAUGUUUGUCCUCCAUAACAUCCCCUAUAUAUUAUUUGAGAAGCAUUACAACUUCUUUUUGUAGCCACAUAUCAUCACUAGAAUGAUUCUUAGAAUCAUUAGAGAAAUAUGUUGGUCCAUCUAAUUAUAUAAUAAGCUUUUUAUUAAACUAACAAUAAAUUCAUCAUUAAUGUACUUUAUUAUUUCCUUAAAUAAAAUUUACGGAAUUUCCUAAUGUGGCUAAAGUAUAUAUGGCAAUUAAUGAUUUUGAAUAAUAAAGAUUUGAUAAAAAAUAGUGUAUCUUCUAUCAUAUUUGUUUAAUUUUAAGCUAUUAAAUAAAUUAAACAACCACAAUAACCAUAUAAUAAAAAUUUAGAUUUUUAUGUAUAUGUUAUAUUUUGAAUUUUUACAAACGGCUAUAAAUUACUAAAACUGUUAAAAGUCUCACAUUCAAAUUUUAUGAUCCAUGGUUUAAAAUUUUUGUUAUGACAAAAUACAAAUGAUUACAAAAAUUAUAUAAGUAAAAAGUCUAAUUUAAUUAAUUAAUAAGAUUAAUAUAUAUAUCGUUUUAAAUUAAACUAUAAACCAUAUAAAAUACAAUAUUUUAGUUUCAAAAUUUACUUUGAACAAUUUUUUUGAUAAAAGUUUUGAACGAUCAUUGACAACUUAUUUUUUUUUUUAAUUAUAAAUUACUAAAACUAUUAAUCCCACAAUGAAAAUUUUGUUAUCAGUAAUUUAAAUUUUUUUCUAUAAAAGAUACAAAUGAUCAAAAAACUAUAUGAGUAGAAAUCAUCAUUUAAUAGACAUUAAUAUUAAAAAUAUACUAAAAUAUAUUAUCUAUGUUAGUAUCAUUUAAAUUUAAUAACAUAUCCUAUCAAAUAAAUAAAUUUUUUUGGAUUAAUACAAUUGAUUUAUAUGUUCGCACCAAUUUAAUUAUAUUUUUAAUAGUUACUGACUUUUAAUUAUUUAAUAUAUAUUUAUUAUUUUAUAAUAUGUAAAAAUAUUUAAUACAUAAAAUAAUUUAUAUAUAUAAUGUUGAUCCCGCGCAAGGCGCAGGUCUUAACCUAGUUUAAACUUAAAACGUAUUGGAAAACAAUUGAGAGUUAGAGACCCAACAAUUAACAUUUUUGUUAUCUUUCACAGUAGCAGCAUCACCUCUACUGCUACUUCCUUGAUGCUUGGACUUGUUCUGGAACUAAUUCUUGUUUGGGCAAGUGUUCCUGAAGUGUCCUUCUUCUCUGCAAGUCCAACACACCUUCUUGCUCUUAGACUUUGGUCUUGACUUUGACUGUCUUGAUGACCUGUCUUUGCUCUCUGACCUUCCUCUUUGAUCACUUCUAUCUCUGACAUACAAGCUCUCUGCUUGUCCUUUAGAGCCACGUGAGUUUGACCCUGUCUCAAGUUCCUUAGCGUAGAUGGCCGCAACAACUUCAUCAAGCGUUAGUGUUGUUCUUCCUGAGCCAUAUCUCAGCGUGUCACGUAGUUGAUCAAACUGUCUUGGUAGAGACAUAAGCAGCAAGACAGCUUGGUCUUCAUCAGAAACCAUAACACCAAUGUUCUCUAGAUCUGUUAUGAGAUGUAGAUAUUCAUCAAUGUUGUGUUCUAUCGACAAGCUUUCAGACAUCUUGAAACCAUAGAGUUUCUGCUUCAGGUAAAAUCGAUUUGGAAGAGCCUUAACAAGAUAGAGCUGGUCCAGUGCUCUAAUCAUCCCAGCAGCUGUCUCUUCCUUCCUUAUCUUCCUCAGAACUCUAUCUGUAACACUCAAGAUGAUAGUACUUCUAUCUUUCCUCACUUUUUCAGCUAAAGCUUCCGCCUUUUCUUCAGUUUCUUUCUUGUCUUCACUCGUUUCUCCUGGAUCUAUGACUUUUCCUGUUGGCUUGCAAGAUUCUUCCAAAGCUUUGCUCAAACCCUGAAGAUCUAUCUGAGCUAACAGUUUGUCUUUCCACAGUGUGUAAUCUCCAUGACCAUCAAACUUCUCAAUCUCCAUUCUUGUCGACAUGGUUCCUUAUGACCGUUAGAUCUUCAGGAACCUCCACCAGUUACCGUAACCUGGCUCUGGUACCAAUAUGUGAAGCAAACACCAAGCCUCAGAACGUCUCCUUAGGUUGAUAUGAAGCUCACACACACAAGAACUUGAUGAAGAGAAGAGAUAAGAACAGAACACUCUUGAAAAACAAAACACAUAACAGAGUAAAACUAGAAGAAAGCAAGGCACUAGCUUGAUAACCUAGUUACACCCGUUAACAAGGGUGUUAGUCUGGGCCGGGAACUGUCUCCUGGAAUCCACUAGAUCAGAGGUUACAAGAGAGUAUUCAGACAACCUCACAAGCCCCUUACAAAGCUACUCAACGGUUUCACUCUCUACCCCUUCCCAAAGAACAAAGAUACAAGUUUAUGCUGUGUAGUUUUGUUCUUACUUUCGGCUGCCUCUAUCUCUGAACAAUGUAUCUAUUUAUAUGUAAAGACAAUGUGACCUAGAUGCCUCUGUGAUGCCGUUUUGAUUCCAUCACAAGCAUGCUUCAUGUACGGACCUCUUCAUUUAACUCUGCCUUAUCUUCUUGUUCAAUAAACGACAAACAUCAGUUUGUUUUUGCUUUUAUGAGCUGUGGCAAAUGGCUAGUCCUUGUGGUCCUGCAUAGAGAAAGUCACGUGGUCUUGUCCAUGAUACACACUUGCUUCCUCUCCACGUCUAAAUCUUCUUCAGUUUUCAUGAUCUUCUUUACUAAGUCUCAACAAUAAGUUGGAGAAACAUAAAUGUUUUUUUUUUCUGCUACAAUAUGGACACAAUCAAUGGCAUAAGGAAUCUUUUUAUUGUCUCUCGCAAUCAGGGCUGGUCCUGAGAUUUUGAUUAUCUUAUACGAUUUAGUAAAGAUUUUAAUAAUUUUUGGGCCUAAAUUUUUUUUUUACAAAUUUUGGAGUCUAUCUAUAUAUAAUUUUUCUGGUCUAGGACGAAUGUUUUGUUAGGCUUAUCCAGGACCGGCCAUGCUCGCAAUUCAUCCGUUUACUGGGUAUACACGUGAAGCCUUUCCCAGGCAAAUGGUUUUGAUUACUGCCUUUUGUAUUGGAUAAGCUUCAAUAUUACUUGUAGAACAAGUUAUUCAUAAAGGAAUUUGGAUAACUAAUAUAAUUAGGAUUAGGAUAAAUGAAUAGGAUAGAGAAGGAUUUCUAUUGACUAUAUAAGUACAUCAUCAUGUGAUGAAUCCAUAAGAAAGAUAAUAAGCUUAUGUUUUAGUUUUGACUUUUGAGUUAAGUUUCUAAACAUAAUAAAAGGAAGGACUCUUUUAUACGAGCUGUUCGAUAUUGUUCUUGGCUACUUUACCUUGAAGAAUACAGGUGAAUCACGCUCAAACACUGUCUGUUCAAAAGCCAAGAUUAUCCAAGCUCGAAGUAGUGAUCUUUAUCUGAGCAAAAGGUUUUCUGAGAAAGUAGGGAUGUUACUUAAUAAUUCAAAAUAAAUCUACUCUUUAGUUAAAUCAAAAUAACUUUGGGAAUAUUGAAUGUUUAUAAUAUGAACAUGUUAGAACAUGUAAUAAGAGUUUCUACAGAGUAUCUUGAAAUAUGUCAAAUGAGUAACCCUUAUCAGCAUCUCUCUUAUUUUUGCCAUUUUUGAAUUUUUCUUUAAAUACUCAUGAGGUAUCUUGCAUACAUAUGCUCUUAGGCUUUCAUAAAUUAGAAAACAAACUAAAAAUAUUACAAAUGGCCCAUUAGCCCAAGACACUAAUGUUUGCCCAUAACAUUUAAACUUAAAACGUAUUGGAAAACAAUUGAGAGUUAGAGACCAAACAAUUAACUGGAGGAAAAGGUGGGCCUGGCUUCUCCUCAAGUUGGAAAAAUCGAGAUCUUGCCACAUAAGACCCGAUAGAUACUUAGAUAAGAAGAUAGUGACACCACGAUCUAUAUCUACAUUACAUAUCCCUCGUGUCCUUUUCGACGUGAAUCAUCACGAUCUGGAACUGGAAUACGAUCGCGACAAAGCUGUUUCUGUAUAUAAAAAAUAUAUAUUUGAGACACACGAUAUCACUUGGCCAUAAUCGAGCAAAAACAGAAGGGAAAUGUCUUUUGUUAGAUAUAUUUUCCUGUCACGUGACUCAGAAAGAAUCACGUGAAUUCUAUUAUUUUAUUAAGGAAAAAUAAAACGUAUCGACAAUUGAAAUUAUAAUGUUCAUAGCAUCCGACCACGCGCGCCUCCACUCUUCGCAGUUACUUCCCAACAACACUAAUGCCUUUGCGACAAACUGAAAACCAAAAUACCUAAUGAAGCUAAUUUUGAUUUCUUGUCGCGCCACGCACAAUUCUCUUUUUUUAACUAAAAUCUACUUCAUAUAAAAAAUCAGACACUGACUCGCGCUAAUCAACUACUAUCACACGCUGUCCACAUAAAGUACAUUAGUUUACAAAAGUACCCUUCUAACAGUUAUCAGUUCUACUCCACUUAAAAGUGCUAUAAUCCAGUGUGUCUCGUCGGCGCUAGGCUUCCGGCGCAUUGUACGAUACCCAGAUUCACUUAUUUUAGGCAAGAAAAAACAGUAAUACCAAAUUAAAAUUAAAAUCUAAAGGAGUACAUUGACUGACCAGGCAAAAUUAAAAAUCCAUAAGAAAAAAAAUUAAAAACAAACUGAGAUCGGGAAAUGAUUAUCGUUUAAGACAUAGGUUUCCGGCAGAGAAUCAUAUGCAUCGGAGAGAAAAUUUCAGUUUCGCCUCCUCUGGACAAGAAAUCAGCAGUCUUAAACAACAUCUCGUGAACAUCGACGGUUCCCUUAGGCGCAACUCCAACA
Molecule: long non-coding RNA, 18708 nt
Filed under: Brassica napus (rape)
Lineage: Eukaryota; Viridiplantae; Streptophyta; Magnoliopsida; Brassicales; Brassicaceae
Description: long non-coding RNA (BNAP_LNC017386)
Source: RNAcentral